ACAGAAAGAGUAGCAAGCAUUAAGGUUGCUAGCUACCGCAAGACAUAUUUUUGAUAAAACAAAUGGCUGCGGCGGCUGAUGGGACUGAUCUCCAGUACCUCCUAAGUUCAGGACUACUGGUGAAGUUGACCCUAGAACGGAAGUGGUGAUCUGUCUCAAGGGUGUCCAUGGCCCGUGAAGAAGCAACACCACAUAGCUAGCUUGUAAAUUCUUAAUUCAAAGAGCAACCGUAGUAGUGUUUGGUGUAGCUUUUAUCUGAUAUCAGUGUCGGAAUCCAAUUAAAGAAAGAGAGUGAGAUUCUCUCCGGUGGCCGUGAGGCAGGGAUGCGGGUAUGCCACGUAGCGAGGUGAGGACAGUGAGUGGAGAGUUUGCUUUCUGUGUUUGUGACUGCUGGAGUGGUGAGACAAUAGCCACCAUCUGCCAACUGUUACAAGUGGAACGUUAAUAGAUCAUCGUGGGGAAGCCAGGAAGAAGUGGCGUCAGCGGGAUGCUUCGGGACUAUAAUUGUACCUUUAUAUGCAUCUUUUCUUGCCCAGCAAGCAUUAUGGAUUCAAAUGUGGUAGAAUUAAAAGCGAUUUCCAAAGCUGUAGAGCUGUGUCUUUCUGUGCCAGACACUUCCUCCAAUGCUACUGAAAUCCUCACUGAAUCAGACUCCAAGGCCAGUCUUAUGGGUGUUGCAUCCAGAAUUUGCCACCUGGCGUUUAUCCUAAAAAAUCAAUUCAGUCACUGAGUGCUUAAGAGCUCUUCCACUCAUUGUCAUUAGGCAAAAUCUCCGUGAAGC
RNAcentral lists this unclassified non-coding RNA (781 nucleotides) under Hevea brasiliensis (rubber tree). The record is from RNAcentral. Lineage: Eukaryota; Viridiplantae; Streptophyta; Magnoliopsida; Malpighiales; Euphorbiaceae.